UCACCAGGUUGAUUCUGCCUGACCUGGACGCUUGUUUUAAAGAUUUAGCCAUGCAUGUUAGUGAAGCGUAAGCGAAGCGACGAACGGCUCAGUAAUACAGUUAUAAUCUAUUCACAAAGCUAUCGAAUAUCCGCGGUAAACUGUGGUUAACUCGAAGGAUUUAUGUUUGUUUUGAAAUGAAGUAUAAGCAGUGAUUGAGUUUUUGGCCUAUUAGCUUGUGAAGGUAUGGUAAGGGCAUACCUUGGCUUUGAUGGGUAACGGGGAAUUAGGGUUCGAUUCCGGAGAAGGAGCCUGAGAGAUGGCUGCUACGUCUAAGGAUGGCAGCAGGCGCGAAAAUUACCCAAUCUUUGGAGAGGAGGUAGUGACAAAACGUAUGCGAGAGAGAGUAUAGCAAAGAAAUGCUCUAGAGCAACUGGAGGGCAAGUCUGGUGCCAGCAGCCGCGGUAAUUCCAGCUCCAGUAGCGUCCAUGUGUGUUGCUGCAGUUAAAACGUCCGUAGUCUUGUUUGAGUUUUACGAAAUUCGUAACACUUACUGUCCUGUGGGUAAAAGCAGUACAUCAAGUGCAGCAUAGCCACAGCAGCAUAUACAGCAGGAGCAGUUGAGGGCGAUGGUAUUCCAAUGCGAGAGGUGAAAUUCGAUGACCACUGGAGGACCAACAGAAGCGAAAGCGUUCGUCAUGGAUGUUUCCGAUGAUCAAGGACGUAAGCCGGAGUAUCGAAGGCGAUUAGAAACCGUCGUAGUUCCGGCCGUAAACGAUGCCGACCCACAGAGGUGACUAGUGCCUUUGUGUGGAGAAAUUAGAGUUUUUGGGCUCUGGGGAUAGUAUAGGCGCAAGCCCGAAACUUUAAGAAAUUGACGGAAGGACACCACAAGGAGUGGAGUAUGCGGGUUAAUUUGACUCAACGCGGGACAACUUACCAGGGCCUGAGGAAGGUGCGAAGUAUCUGAUACAACAGAUACUGAUUCUUCCACGAGUGGUGCAUGGCCGUUCCCAACACGUGGGGUGACCUGUCUGGCUAAUUCCGAUAACGCGUGAGACCCUCGUGCCGUGAGAAUGGCAGACGAUCACCGACGAGGUGGAGGAAGCAGGGGGCGAUAACAGGUCCGUGAUGCCCUUAGAUGUUCUGGGCUUCACGCGUACUACAAUGUGUAAGGUUUAAACAAAUGAAACUUGCACGAUGUCGGGAUAGACAGUUGUAAAUCUGUCUUGAACGAGGAAUUCCUAGUAACAGUGAGUCACUAACUUUCUGUGAAUAUGUCCCUGUCCUUUGUACACACCGCCCGUCGUUAUCUAAGAUGGAUGUGGGGAUGAAAAGAACACAGUUUUUUGAAUCUCUGCAACUAGAUUGGAUACAAGUCGUACAAAGGUAAC
This 1373-nucleotide ribosomal RNA is filed under the name Polydispyrenia sp. L6. RNAcentral describes it as "bacterial SSU rRNA". It matches the Rfam family "Microsporidia small subunit ribosomal RNA". The record is from RNAcentral. Lineage: Eukaryota; Fungi; Microsporidia.